AGUUCUGUCCCUCAUCCCACCCAGGGGAGUGAGUGAAGCUCUGCGGGGUCUUGGCUGCUGGUUGGUGUUAAACCAUGAGAGCAGAGCAGCUCCAAGCACAGGACAUUAGACAGAUCCUCUUUAAAGUAUCAAUGGAUGGAUGAAAGCUUGAUGUGAAAUGAAGGGGACCUGAACAGGUAAUAGAACUCUCAAUGUUCUGCAAAGGAGUAAUUUUCACUGGGAGAAAGUUUGGCCUAAGUCAUGAUGUUUGGCUCUGCAAAUUUCCACUAGCAAAGACGGACAAGCCAUGGGAGAGAAGAGUGGAUGGAAAUGUGAGGGAAAUGAAAAGAGAGGAAAGUGUGUGGAUUAGGGCUGGCUGGGGGGAGCUAUGACUAUAAAAUUAAAAUUAGAAUUAAUUGAUAAGAAAAUUUCAGCUUGUAUUAGAGAUGUUUUAUUUCAGUUUUGUUUUCUGUCAAGUUUCCAUUGUACAAAUUGUCAUUUCAGCAAGAAGCACAAAGAUGGGGUGAGACCCAAAGCCUAGCCUGUGAAGAGCUGCAGAGGGGGUAGGAAAAUUAAUACCUAUUUAAACCUUUUUCUUCAACUUGUACCUUAGCUGUUACAACAACCUAAUACAGUCAC
Molecule: long non-coding RNA, 618 nt
Filed under: Zonotrichia albicollis (white-throated sparrow)
Lineage: Eukaryota; Metazoa; Chordata; Aves; Passeriformes; Passerellidae
Description: lncRNA (ENSZALG00000000374.1)
Source: RNAcentral